AUUGAACGCUGGCGGCAGGCCUAACACAUGCAAGUCGGACGGUAGCACAGAGAGCUUGCUCUUGGGUGACGAGUGGCGGACGGGUGAGUAAUGUCUGGGGAUCUGCCCGAUAGAGGGGGAUAACCACUGGAAACGGUGGCUAAUACCGCAUAACGUCGCAAGACCAAAGAGGGGGACCUUCGGGCCUCUCACUAUCGGAUGAACCCAGAUGGGAUUAGCUAGUAGGCGGGGUAACGGCCCACCUAGGCGACGAUCCCUAGCUGGUCUGAGAGGAUGACCGGCCACACUGGAACUGAGACACGGUCCAGACUCCUACGGGAGGCAGCAGUGGGGAAUAUUGCACAAUGGGCGCAAGCCUGAUGCAGCCAUGCCGCGUGUAUGAAGAAGGCCUUCGGGUUGUAAAGUACUUUCAGCGGGGAGGAAGGCGGUGCGGUUAAUAACCGUACCGAUUGACGUUACCCGCAGAAGAAGCACCGGCUAACUCCGUGCCAGCAGCCGCAGUAA
This 504-nucleotide ribosomal RNA is filed under the name uncultured bacterium. Its description in RNAcentral is "partial 16S ribosomal RNA". It matches the Rfam family "Bacterial small subunit ribosomal RNA", at positions 29 to 523 of the family's 1533-position model. The record is from RNAcentral.